GGUAGUCGUGGGAAGAAUUGGGCCAAAACAGUGCAAAAGGAAUGGAAAAUUUUAGAGAAUGACUUACCAGAAAACAUCUAUGUGCGAGCGUUCGAGGACCGCAUGGACCUACUCCGGCUGGUGAUGGUCGGGGCGAGUGGGACGCCGUACAGUCACGGCCUAUUUUUCUUCGACUUGCAGCUGCCACCGUCCUACCCGGCAGCGCCACCGCAAGUGUACUACCACUCCUUCGGUCUGCGCCUCAAUCCCAACCUCUAUGAGUCUGGUACCGUCUGUCUUAGCCUGCUCGGCACAUUCGACGGUGAGGGCACCGAGUUAUGGUCACCGGCAACGUCGAGCCUCCUCCAAGUCGUUGUCUCCAUCCAUGGUCUCGUCCUCAACGCCCAACCAUACUACAACGAGGCCGGAUAUGAGAUCCUAGUCGGCAAACCGGAGGGCCAUCGCAAUGCAUUGCCCUACAGUGAGAAUGCUUACCUGCUCACCCUCCGGACCAUGCUCCACCUUUUGCGCCAGCCACCUCGGGGUUUUGAGAAAUUCGUCAAGGAACACUUCCGCUGUCGCGGAAGGUUUGUGCUCCGGCAAUGCAACAUGUCGUUGCAGGGAUAUGUUGUUGGUGAUGCCCAUGCCACUGAAUCAAGUAGUGAGCGACCAUGCUCGGCUGGGUUAAGGCUUGCACUCGCCAAUGUGGUGCCGAGCCUCAUCGCUGCCUUCACAGAGAUUGGCGCCGAGGGGUGCGACUAG
This 741-nucleotide ribosomal RNA is filed under the name Triticum aestivum (bread wheat). Its description in RNAcentral is "partial small subunit ribosomal RNA". Lineage: Eukaryota; Viridiplantae; Streptophyta; Magnoliopsida; Poales; Poaceae. The record is from RNAcentral.